UACAGAGGGUGCAAGCGUUGUUCGGAAUUAUUGGGCGUAAAGCGCGUGUAGGCGGCUUUGCAAGUCGGGUGUGAAAGCCCUCAGCUCAACUGAGGAAGUGCGCCCGAAACUGCAGAGCUUGAGUGCCGGAGAGGGUGGCGGAAUUCCCCAAGUAGAGGUGAAAUUCGUAGAUAUCGGGAGGAACACCAGUGGCGAAGGCGGCGACCUGGGCUGACACUGACGCUGAGGUUCGAAAGCGUGGGGAGCAAACAGG
RNAcentral lists this ribosomal RNA (253 nucleotides) under uncultured bacterium. RNAcentral describes it as "partial 16S ribosomal RNA". It matches the Rfam family "Bacterial small subunit ribosomal RNA", at positions 524 to 776 of the family's 1533-position model. The record is from RNAcentral.